Molecule: non-coding RNA, 73 nt
Organism: Camelus ferus (Wild Bactrian camel)
Lineage: Eukaryota; Metazoa; Chordata; Mammalia; Artiodactyla; Camelidae
Source: Rfam
GGAGGAUACAGCUCAGUGGUAGAGUGCGUGCCUCAUAUGCAUGAGGUCUAGGGUUCAAUCCCUAGUGCCUCCA